AGGAACCUGCCUGAAGAACAAGAUGAUGAAAUUGCAAGUCAGGAGCCCACCUGAAAAAUAGGGUGAUGAAAAUUGAAGUCAAGAGUCUGCCUGAAUGAAGAACCGAGUGAUGAAAUUGAAAGUCAGGAGCCCACCUGAAGAAUAGGGUGAUGAAAUGGCAAGUCAGGAGCCCAAACAGGGUGAUAAAAUGGCAAGUUAGGAGCCUGCCUGAAGAAUAGGGUGAUGAAAUUGAAAGUCAGGAGCCCGCCUGAAGAACAUGGUGAUGAAA
This 268-nucleotide long non-coding RNA is filed under the name Capsicum annuum. RNAcentral's name for it is "long non-coding RNA (CANN_LNC001609)". The record is from RNAcentral. Lineage: Eukaryota; Viridiplantae; Streptophyta; Magnoliopsida; Solanales; Solanaceae.